NCCCUNAACUUAAUAACUUGCUAAAAAGAAAAAAAGAAAUGUUUAAAAAAUGGAAAGAGGGGGACAUAUCAAAAGAAGAAUAUAAUGCAAUCUGCAGGAACUGCAGGAUAAGUGUCAGAAAGGCUAAAGCUAAAAAUGAAUUGAGGAUUGCAAGAGAGGCCAAAAACAAUAAAAAAGGCUUUUGGGGGUAUGUCAGAAGCAAAAGAAAAGUCAAAGAAGCUAUAGGACCUUUACAAAAUGGGAAGGGUGAUUUGGUCAAAAACGAUAUUCAGAAGGCAGAACUUCUGAACUCCUAUUUUGCAUCUGUUUUCUCUCAGAAAGGAAAGGAAACAUCAGUUGGCCUUCACUGUGCUGUUGAGGUAAUAAGAGAAUCAAGGCUCUGUAUGGACAAGGAGAAGGUGAGGGAACACUUAGCAAACUUAAAUGUAUUCAAGUCUCCAGGCCCAGAUGAAUUACAUCCUAGGGUGCUGAAGGAAUUAGCUGAUAGAAUUGCUGAACCACUCUCCGUGAUAUUUGAGAACUCAUGGAUAACAGGAGAAGUCCCAGAAGAUUGGAGAAGGGCAAAUGUUGUACCUAUCUUUAAAAAAGGAAAGAAGGCUGACCCAGGCAACUACAGGCCUGUGAGCCUGACUUCAAUACCAGGCAAGAUAUUUGAACAAAUCAUUAAACAGCACAUAUGGGAGCACUUGGAUGGGAAUGCAGUAAUUAACCAAAGCCAACAUGGAUUUGUAACAAGCAAGUCAUGCCAGACUAAUCUUAUUUCCUUUUAUGACAAAAUUACUGGAUGGAUCGAUCAAGGAAAGGCUGUGGACAUAGUAUAUCUUGACUUUAGCAAAGCAUUUGACAAGGUGUCUCAUACUAUACUUAUUGAAAAAAAUGAUCAAAUAUGGGAUUGACAGGACAACUGUUAGGUGGAUUCAUAACUGGCUUAGUGAUCGUACUCAAAGAGUGGUCAUAAAUGGCUUCACAUCCGAUUGGAAGACUGUCUCGAGUGGGGUACCGCAAGGCUCG
Molecule: long non-coding RNA, 1011 nt
Organism: Salvator merianae (Argentine black and white tegu)
Lineage: Eukaryota; Metazoa; Chordata; Lepidosauria; Squamata; Teiidae
Source: Ensembl